Molecule: long non-coding RNA, 1003 nt
Filed under: Chelonoidis abingdonii (Abingdon island giant tortoise)
Lineage: Eukaryota; Metazoa; Chordata; Testudines; Testudinidae
Description: lncRNA (ENSCABG00000008249.1)
Source: RNAcentral
CUGGGCCAUGGUGCUAGCCGUGGUCUGGCUGCACGACCGGACCGUGGGGCAGCGCGAUGAGUGGGAGCUGCUGGAGUCCAAGGCUGUGGGUUGGGUGCGGGACCGAGCAGGGGCCCAGCUGAGCGAGUGCCUGGAAGCAGCCAAUGCCCUACUGGGCUGCAGAAUUGGCCCUGCUGUCUUCGGGCUUUGAGCCCCCCUGGGAUCCCCAUACCUGCUCCCCAAACUACCUUGGGCAUUCAACCGGGAGCCCCAAGAGCCAACAGAGGGUGCAGAGGUGGCUGCACUGACCUCGCCCUGCAUGAGCCAUCCAGUGUAAACCUAGUCCCAUCUCUGCGGAGUUCAGCUAUUGGACAGACAGACAGACCAACAGGAUCUUUGCUUGUCCAAAUGCGACCUCAUUUUGUCAUAAUGGCAGAUUUCUCUUCGCUAGACAAUCCUGAACGCGAACAGGAGCGCAGUGAUUCGCAUAAUUCUUCAUUUCCUCUCUGUCUAGGUCUGGACUAGAGCUGGUCAGACAUUUUCCAGCUGAACAGUGUUGUGUUAGCAAAUGUGAUUUCAUGGUGAAGGCUGAAAGGUGGAAACAGGCAGCAGAGGGAGGAAGCUUGUCUCAUGCUGCAUGUUGUGAAUCCGUCCCCAGUCACCAGCUGCUGAAUUCUCUACUACAGGAAGAAAUGCUUAAAACCUGACCAUCCAUCUUGACGGUUAAUGCUCAUGCUGUGUCCAUCCUGGGCAGCACGGGGCCCUUCUCAGGACAUCCUGGGACUCAAGCAAAUGGUGAAAAACAUCAGCUGGUUAAUUUCCUGGAAAGAAAGUGCUAUUUUUAUCAAGAAACUUCAGGAGCAUAAGGAAGAAGCAAACAGUUUUCCCACUUUAUGUUAACCAGCCCUGACCUGCUUUGAACAGCUUUCACCACAUGACUCUGUGCUGGGUCACGUCCCUAUUUCAGCCUUUCCGUGUCUGAGAAGGCAACUCAAUAAAUUCAAUUGACAGCACCUGGAGUCCA